Molecule: long non-coding RNA, 3776 nt
Organism: Polypterus senegalus (gray bichir)
Lineage: Eukaryota; Metazoa; Chordata; Cladistia; Polypteriformes; Polypteridae
Exons: 3
Source: RefSeq, a predicted model, not a curated record
AAAAGCAGUGUUAAUGUUUGUAAUGCACCAUCUGUUGGAAUGGAAAAUGCAAUGUAUUUUAUUACUUCAAAUGUUUGUCAUGCGGCUUGUGUUGGAAUGACCAAGAUAUAGCAACCAGAUGGACACACAGACCCUUGUCCUUUUAUUAAGGUUGAUAUUGGCACCCUGAGUAAAAUGGGCUGUGGAAAAACUUUUUGUCCUCUUGAUGUUUCGUUCAAAAUAUAACAAAAAUCUUCCUUUUAACUAAAGCAAAAUAACUGAAUAUAAAAAGAAAUUCUCGUCAGAACACAUUUUUCUCAAAUAUAUGUGUGGCACAAUUAUUGGUACCCCCUCAUUUAAUAUUUUGUUCAGGCCCAUUUUGCCAAUAUAACAGCACAGAGCCUUCUCUUCUAACACAUAGCGAGAGAUAUGAGAUCAUUCCUCAUUCCUUCAUAUGAUGAGAAUUACUUUUCUUUCAUUUUUUUUUACUUCAAUAAAGGGUGCAUUUUUGUUAAUAGUUUAAAUGAAAGAUCAAGUUGAUAAACAACAACGACUUUUUAGAGCCCAUUUUGCAUUUACUUACCAAGGAUGCUAUAUAAGUGGAGGAUACCAUAUUAGUGAAAACGUAGCAGUGAGUGAUAAUAAAAUUAGACUACUUUGGCACAAUUUUAAGUUAAAAAAAAAAUAAAAGGACCAAUAGGAAUUGAGGAACGUCAUCACUGGUUUAAGGUCACAUGAGAAUUGGCUUUUCAAAAUGGAUACUUACAGGACUACAUUUGUGGCUUAAAUGCAGCCAGUCAUGAAAUUGCCACAGUUUGUUUAUUGAGUGCUUAGAGUGAUCCUGGGAUGUAAAAACAGAAAUAGUCUUUAUUAAGUAUAGUAAUUUAAAUAACAGAAAAAUUCCGGACAGGCAAACACUGGUUCAGAAGAUGACCAUUCGUUGGGAUUUCACAAAGGACUGCGAUGGCACCUCUGAUCCUCUUGACUCACUCCAUUUAACCAACAUGUUUGUUUAUUUCUGGUCCUGACAACUUCUUGAGUAUUACUGUAUAUUAAAUUAGAAAACCUAAAUAGAAACCUAUGUGUUAGGAGCAGGCCCCUUCCUGUGUGGUUCUUGAGAAGGAGUUCAGGCACAGCAGCUCCUACUCUCUGGGUUCAGACUUCCCUGUUGGAGCACAAAGAAUGGCCUCCAUCUGACGCACUCUAUGCUAGCAAAGCUGUGACUCUAGAGUGAGGAAUGGGAAAAAUUAGAAAUGCGGAGGCCGAACUCUUCAUAGCUUUUUGACGAGACAUUCUCUCAUGUUGACAUUGUUGCUGCAUAUUUCAUUAGGCAUUUUGUGGUGCUUUUUAAAAAGGACUUGGUUGAGUUUUGUUUUUGCACACCCCGAGGACAUCUGCAUGUUCUGACAGCAGUCGUGUUAAGACUGCCAAGCUUAGGUAGACGACGACAGCCAGAAUGAAACUAGCAGAUGCCUGGGCAGCAAUCUGAUCUUUGGUGCACAACUAUGACUUCCGCCACCUGUAUCGCUUGCAGGGACCCAAUUUAUACUGCUUUGAAUUGAGUAUCUUUGGGACUUUUCAUAAGUUUGCAGGACAAGGCGGGCAGAGCUGGCUGCUUGCCGCUACCUUGGCUUAUUUCUUUGUUGCUUGCCUGUAGUGAAGCAACAUUUCUUAAAACGGAUUACAUCAUUUGAAAGUCAUCCUUUUAUGUCCAUGACAUUUUGAGGUUGAACCCUGUAGCUCUUGACGACCGGUGGGAUAUGGAAGUGUUUUCUUGCCCGAUUUACCCUACCAACACACAUAAAGUUGCAUCUUUUUGUAGAAAUACUAUUCACCAGAUAUACAUGUAAUGGGAACUGUUAUUAUUGCAUAUACAGUAGUUGCCGAGAUUAUUAAUUGAAUUAUGGCAUCUUUUCAGUGAGAAGUGACUUGAAAUUAUUUUUCUUACCACCACAAUAUUUAAAGCAUCAACCCUGCCUUUCCAUACAUAGCCUUGUUACACUUUGAACCAAUGCACUCACUACUUGGACCCUUAAACAUGAUUCGAUAAUUGUUUUGCCACACAUAUUGGAUCAUUCGAUCUGUGAAUCAAGCUCUUAAGACAUUUUGCAUGUAAGGCAGUUGCUUGACCAUAAAAGCGUGAUGAAACACAAAACUCAUAAAUGCAAAGGAAUGGUCCAGAUAUUUUAUCCACUUCAUCAUUUAACAAAAAAGGUGAGUUCAGCUGUCAGAUUGUGUUUGGAGCAGAGUCAAUGUACUUUCUCCAGAAAUCAAAAUUGUUUAAAUGAAGAGUUAAAACCAAGUUGCUGUUACUGACUGGUGAUCCCCAUUGAAAUAAGCCAAGGAUGACUUGGAUCUCACUUGGGUCCAAUUUAUAAUUCUUGAUAAGCUUACCUGUUAACCCUCUGAGCACUUAUGUGCACUUUCAGCAAGAUGUACAAGCCUUCUUCCCAGCUAUACGAUUUACAAAUUGGAAAAGGCAUCACUGUGACACUUAGGGCAUUCACAUUCGUAAAUGCCUGUUUAAAAAAUAAAUUGUAAGAUGUUAUUAGUUGUGUAUUGGUCAACCCAGGAAGAUAAUUUCAUAUCUGAAAUUGACAUAGUUGCUAAACAGAAUCAUGCAGUUAUCUAGUUUGAAAUGAGCAAACAUAGACUCUUAAAUAAAAAAAAAUGAAAACUGUCAGGAAAAGGCAUUUCUAAUUAUUUAAGAGUAUAAAAAACAUGAACAAAUUAACGAAAAGGGAUUUAACUUGGUGUAAAGUGCACAGAUCAUAUCAGUGUGAGCAGGGGGUUAAUACUUGACUAAGGCCUGUGAAGGCCAGUAUAAGAGAGGUUUUUUUUGCACAUUGAUAUUUUUAAAUAUCAGUAUUUUAAUUAUUCUAAGUGCCUUCUAUUCUAGUUUAAUUUUAUGAUGAUAUACAAUAUAUAAAAGUAUAUAUAUUUUUUGGCUCCAGUAUUGAAGCCUUACGUAAAGAACUGUAGAGGUGUAUACGUCUUGGUACAACAGCUAUGUGUGCUCCUGUUUUAGACAAAAAGUGUCAAUGACAAAGUUUAAUAAAGUUGUAUUUGAUAAUUAUUCUGUACCUGUGUUCUUUCCUGAACCAAAAUGUAACUUAGGAAGUUAACAAUUAUUUUCUUUUCAUCUCAUUUGCUUAUAUCUGGUGAAGGAUGCAGUGCAAUCUCUCUGACUGUCUUUGACAGGAUGUGGGAAACUAAAAGAUUAUUUAAUCUCUCAAAAACAUUUUGGAUGUGCCCAGAAAACUUGUGAAUGACAACAAGUGGGCGUCUUUAUUGGGCUCAAUUUAAUAUUGGCUGCAUUACUCCACGUUUCUUACAUUGGGUAACGGUCUCACUUUUUACAAUUGAACCCACAAUUUUAUACUUUCAGGCUCCCACUCAUAGCUCAUAAUAUGGCUGGAUGGUAGACUGACAAGCAUCUUGUGUGAUUUGUACAACUCUCUAGCAAUCCUUUGGCUAGUCCCACAAGUCCCAACGUUUAAUCGAGAACAUGACACUGAAGUACUUGAAAUCCUUCACUGUAUCCCUCAGCAGAAAGCAAUUUUUUUCCAAUAUAGAAUCUCUAGAUUGGGACCCUAAACAACAUGAGGAAUGACUCGACAGAACAGCAUACGACUGUGUAUCAGCCUUAAUCGAGAAACAAGUAGGCAAAAGAACGUACUAAAGAUCCAGGAGAUGUGAAGCACUUCAGCAAACACACUCAAAUGAAGAACAUGACAUAGUCCGGCACAAUUUUAGGGCCUAACAAAGCAGCUCACGUUGCAAAAGGAGUUACAAUG